GCUCGUCACCCAGUCACCCCCACCUCCCCUUUCACCCCCCCUAGUUCGUUUCCCAGAGUUACCAGUCUCUCAUGUUCUGUCUCCCUUUCUGAUAUUUCCCACUCAUUUUUCUCCUUCCCACUUUGACCACACCUGCUUCCCAUGCAUCCUCUCGUGCCCAGCCCCUGAGUGCAGCACAGCCCUUUGAUGGAUCUUUGCCAAGUGAGGGGCAAAACUACAUGUUCUCCCAAGGCCUAGGGACUCCUAUGGCAUGCUAUUUCCUGGGAUCACUCUCCAACCUCCCACCCGGGGCCAUGUCCCUGGCUGGUGAGCCUGCGGAGGGGCCCAGAGGGAGGGGCACACACACGUCAUAAUGGGCAUUGAGGCAGGGGAUGACGCGAGGGCUGGCGUGGGACAUAAAUAAUGGGGUAAGUCUGACCUUUGUCCAGUUACUCAUUUGGUCAAGAUGAGUAACUAGCCAAACGGCGUUUGGAGAAAUGACAAAAAAGCUGCCUCGGAUUUCUUCUUCUCGACCCCAGGCUCGACCUACACACUCUAUCCCUCCCUCCUCCCGACCCCGGGCUCCACCUACUCACUCGAUUCCUCCCUCCUCCCGACCCCAGGCUCCACCUACCCACUCCAUUCCUCCCUCCUCCCGACCCCAGGCUCCACCUACCCACUCCAUUCCUCCCUCCUCCCGACCCCAGGCUCCACCUACCCACUCCAUUCCUCCCUCCUCCCGACCCCAGGCUCCACCUACCCACUCCAUUCCUCCCUCCUCCAGACCCCAGGCUCCACCUACCCACUCCAUCCCUUCCUCCUCCCGACCCCAGGCUCCACCUACCCACUACAUUCCUUCCUCCUCUCAACCCCGGGCUGCUUCUAUCUUCUCUAUUCCUGCCUCCUGUCAUUGUUCACAGCUGUUUCCUCUUUUGUGUAACUCUUUUCGUCCACAGAACACUCCCCUGCAUCAGCCACCUUUCUCAACUCGUAAACCUAUCUCUUUCCCUCCUGUUCAUAGUGCUGUCCCUCCCUGCCGCCCUAACCUACAGGUUUCCCCACCCAAAUCUGGCUCUAUUCCUUCCAAAACG
Long non-coding RNA from Vulpes vulpes (red fox), 1070 nucleotides. NCBI's taxonomy places the organism in Eukaryota, Metazoa, Chordata, Mammalia, Carnivora, Canidae. The record is from Ensembl.